UAAGGAAUAUUGGACAAUGGUCGCAAGACUGAUCCAGCCAUGCCGCGUGCAGGAAGACGGCCCUAUGGGUUGUAAACUGCUUCUGUACCAGAGAAAACCUAUCUACGUGUAGAUAGCUGAUAGUAUGGUAAGAAUAAGCAUCGGCUAACUUCGUGCCAGCAGCCGCGGUAAGACGAAGGAUGCAAGCGUUAUCCGGAUUCAUUGGGUUUAAAGGGUGCGAGGCGGGCUUGUAAGUCAGUGGUGAAAUCUCUCAGCUUAACUGAGAAACCGCCAUUGAUACUGCAGGCCUAGAGUAUAGAUGACGUUGGCGGAAUAUGACAUGUAGUGGUGAAAUACUUAGAUAUGUCAUAGAACACCGAUUGCGAAGGCAGCUAACGAAACUAUAACUGACGCUGAGGCACGAAAGUGCGGGGAUCAAACA
This 421-nucleotide ribosomal RNA is filed under the name uncultured bacterium. RNAcentral describes it as "bacterial SSU rRNA". It matches the Rfam family "Bacterial small subunit ribosomal RNA", at positions 355 to 774 of the family's 1533-position model. The record is from RNAcentral.